CCUACGGGUGGCAGCAGUGAGGAAUAUUGGUCAAUGGACGAGAGUCUGAACCAGCCAAGUAGCGUGAAGGAUGACUGCCCUAUGGGUUGUAAACUUCUUUUAUAUGGGAAUAAAAUGUUCCACGUGUGGGAUUUUGUAUGUACCAUAUGAAUAAGGAUCGGCUAACUCCGUGCCAGCAGCCGCGGUAAUACGGAGGAUCCGAGCGUUAUCCGGAUUUAUUGGGUUAAAAGGGAGCGUAGGUGGAUUGUUAAGUCAGUUGUGAAAGUUUGCGGCUCAACCGUAAAAUUGCAGUUGAAACUGGCAGUCUUGAGUACAGUAGAGGUGGGCGGAAGUCGUGGUGUAGCGGUGAAAUGCUUAGAUAUCACGAAGAACUCCGAUUGCGAAGGCAGUUCACUGGACUGCAACUGACACUGAGGCUCGAAAGUGUGGGUAUCAAACAGGAUUAGAUACCCGAGUAG
RNAcentral lists this ribosomal RNA (458 nucleotides) under uncultured bacterium. RNAcentral's name for it is "partial 16S ribosomal RNA". It matches the Rfam family "Bacterial small subunit ribosomal RNA", at positions 338 to 793 of the family's 1533-position model. The record is from RNAcentral.